UGAUAGCUAAGCUCACCCGCAUGACAAAAUACAUGAAAAUACAAAAAGGUCCCUACUACAAAGACUACUCAAAACGCCUUGAAAUACAAGGCUAAAACCCUAUACUACUAGAAUGGCCAAAAUACAAGGCCCAAAAGAAGAAAAAAACCUAUUCUAAUAUUUACAAAGAAGAGUGGACCCAACCUUGGCCCAUGGGCUCAAAAAUCUACCCUAAGGUUCAUGAGAACCCCAAGGCCUUCUUUAUCAGCUCUAGCCCAAUCCUCUUGGAGCCUCUUGCUCAUGGCUCUGGUAAUUGGUCCUUUCCUAGGGAGGAUUGCAUCAUCCCCUCCCCCUUGAAGAGGAUUUGACCUCAAAUCUGUUGGUUCCUCUUCCUCUAUAUCAGCUCCACCUGCAAAAGGAAUUAAAUCAGAAAUAUUAAAAGUGGUGCUGAUUCCAUACUCUCUUGGGAGGUCCAACCUAUAGGCAUUAUUAUUAAUCCUCUCCAAGACCUGAAAAGGUCCAUCCCCUCUAGGGCUAAGCUUGGAUUUCCUUUUAGUAGGGAAUCUAUCCUUCCUAAGAUGGAGCCAAACCCAGUCCCCCUCAUUAAGAACUAGCUCAUUUCUUCCUCUAUUGCCCUUAGUUGAAUACACCUUUGUUUGGUUCUCUAUUUGGGUCUUAACCCUUUCAUGAAACUUCUUUAGAAACUCUGACCUAGAUUCCCCUUCUUUAUGUAUAAAAGAAGUGUCAAGUGGAAGGGGAAUGAGGUCUAAGGGUGUUAAGGGAUUGAACCCAUAGACAACCUCAAAAGGGUAUUGCUUGGUGGUUCUAUGAAACCCCCCUGUUGUAGGCAAAUUCUACAUGAGGAAGAUACUCAUCCCAAGACUUAUGGUUGCCUUUUAGAAGAGCCCUUAAAAGGGUGGAUAAAGACCUAUUCACUACCUCUGUUUGCCCAUCAGUUUGUGGAUGACAAGUGGUAGAUAAAAGAAGCUUAGUUCCUAGCUUAGCCCAUAAUGUUUUCCAGAAGUGGCUAAGGAACUUAAACUUCCCUAAAAAAGAGUUUUGAGAUAUGGGAAGCAUCAUCCACCUUGUGGCAUGGUAUAAAGUGUGCCAUCUUGCUAAACCUAUCCACCACCAUAAAGAUAGAGUCUACACCUCUUUGGGUUCUAGGGAUCCCAAGGACAAAGUCCAUACUAAUGUCUACCCAAGGUGCAGAUGGAAUGGGUAAGGGUGUGUAUAGCCCAUGAGGCAUCACCCUAGACUUGGCUUGUAAACAAGCCACACACCUAGUGCAAUGCUUAUGGACAUAUUUCUUCAUAUGGGGCCAAUAAAAAUUUUUUUUGAGUAAGACAAGGGUCUUGUCUAUCCCAAAGUGGCCCAUGAGCCCACCCUCAUGGCUCUCCUUCACAAGUAAUUUCCUGAUGGUUCCUUGGGGUAUGCAAAGCUUUCCUUCUUUGAACAAAUACCCCUCAGCCAAAUAGAAUCCAUCUUGGGCCUUUUUCCCAUAACUCUUGUAAAUGGGAGAGAAAUAUUCAUCUAAAGCAUACAAGUCCCUAAUGUUAUCAAAUCCUAAAAUUUGAGCUCCUAGGGAGCAAAACAAUGUGUGUCUCCUAGAAAGGGCAUCAACUACCACAUUUGUUUUUCCCUUUUUGUAUUUGAUAACAUAUGGAAAUUGCUCUAGGUACUCUACCCAUUUUGCAUGCCUUUUGUUUAACUUUCUUUGCCCUCUAAUGAACUUAAGUGAUUGAUGAUCACUAUGAUUGACAAAUUCCUUGGAAACAAGGUAAUGUUCCCAAGUUCGGAGUGCUCUUAUUAAGGCAUAAAGCUCUUUAUCAUAGGUGGGGGUAGUUAAGGGUUGCACCAUGAAGUUUUUCACUAAAAUAAGCAAUAGGGUGCCCACCUUGUAACAAAACAACUCCAAUUCCCACUCCGGAGGCAUCACAUUCUAGCUCAAAAGUUUUAGAAAAGUCAGGAAGAGCUAGAACAUGUGCCUUAGUAAGCUUCUCUUUGAGCAAAGCAAAGGCUUGCUCUUGUUUUUCACCCCAGGUAAAUGCCACAUGCUUCUUUACCAACUCAUUGAGAGGUGAGACAAUUGUAGAGAAAUUAGGAACAAACCUUCUAUUGAAGCUUGCUAACCCAUGGAAGCUCCUAAUAUCUCCCACACUUUUUGGGGUGGGCCAUUCUUGGAUGGCCUUGAUUUUCUCAGGGUCGACUUGGACCCCAUUUCUACCAACUACAAAUCCUAAGAAAACUAUACUAUCUACAUAAAAGGUACACUUCUCUAUAUUUGCAUAGAGGGUGUUUUUCCUAAGGACCGAAAGAACUUGCCUAAGAUGUCCUAAGUGAUCAUCUAGGCUCCUAUUGUACACUAAAAUAUCAACAAAAUAAACAACUACAAAUCUACCUAUUAAAUCCCUUAAGACAUAAUGCAUAAGCCUCAUAAAGGAGCUUGGUGCAUUAGUGAGCCCAAAAGGCAUCACUAGCCAUUCUUACAAACCAAACUUGGUCUUGAAAGUGGUUUUCCACUCAUCACCCUUUUUCAUCCUGAUUUGGUGAUAACCACUUUUAAGAUCAAUUUUUGAAAAGAUGUUGGCACCAUGCAACUCAUCAAGUAAAUCAUCAAGUCUGGGAAUAGGGUGCCUAUACUUUACAGUAAUGUUGUUGAUGGCUCUGCAAUCUGUACACAUUCUCCAUGUACCAUCCUUUUUGGGCACCAACAACACUGGCACAACACAAGGGCUUAGGCUCUUUUGGACCCAACCCUUCUCCAACAAAUCUUUAACCUGAGACUCUAUCCCCUAAACAAAUCUUUAACCUGAGAUUCUAUGCCCUAAGUCUCCUGAGGGUUAGUCCUAUAGGCUAGCCUAUUAGGAAGGCUUGCUCCUGUGACUAAAUCUAUUUGAUGUUCUAUUCCCCUUAAAGGAGGUAGCCCAGGGGGUAUCUCUUUAGGAAAUAUAUCACCAAAUUUAUGUAAGAGUUCUUGGACCUUUGAAGGUAAGGUCUCACAUAUAGGAAUUUUGGCAGUGCUAAGGGAUGUUUCCCUUGAUAGGAGAAGGUAGAAAGAUUGUUUAAGAAGGAGUGUUCUUUUAAUAUCACCUUUUGUUGCAAAAUGAUUUUCCUUCUUAAAAAUCUUCUUGGAGGAAUCAUUUUCCUCUUUUCCUUUCCCCUUGGCCUUUGAAUACAAGGCCUUACUAUCCUUCUUUUUCUUUUGUUUUUCUAGUUUUUCUUCCUCAUCCCUCUUAUCUUUCAUAGUUAGUUGAUCUUUGGCCACCUGUGAAGAUGUUUGAGGAUGCAACACAAAUUUAGUGCCAAGAUGGGUGAGGGUAAUCUCAUUACUUAGACCAUUGUAAAUUAUCUUUCUAUCAAAUUGCCAUGGUCUUCCUAAAAGAAUAUGUCCAGCCUCCAUGGGAACUAUAUUACAAUUAACUUUAUCCUUAUAUGUCCCAAUGGAGAAAGGUACCUUCACUUGUUGGUUAACUAUCAUUUCCCCAUGCUCAGCCAUUGAAGUUUAUAAGGUUUUGGGUGGGGAAUGAUAGUGAGGUUCAACUUGGAAACUAAUCUUGUGCUACAACAAUUGCAACAAGAUCCACUACCCACAAUGAGAGAACAAGUUUUAUCUAAAAUUUUGCAUCUUGUAUGAAAUAUGUUCUCUCUUUGGGAUUGAGAUAGAUCACAAGAUUGACCUUCAAGGAGCCUUCUAACCAUUAAGAGGUCACCUUCUUCAUGGGGGUAGACUUCCUCACUAGACACUUCACCCCUUACUUCAUCUUCACUUCCACUAGAGGAAGGGCAAGAAGUAGUUUCCUCUUGACUACUAUAAAUGUCUUGACCCCUCAUAAUCAUGGUUUUCUUUGUGGGGCAUUGAGAGGCAAUGUGACCUCUUCCAAGACAUUUGAAGCAUUUAAUGUUGCUAGUCCUUUCUUGGGAACUAGUCUUAGGGGUGUAUUUCUCUAUGGUCUUACCUUUAUCUUCCUUGGGUUUUGAAGGUGUAGCCCCCAAAAUUCCUUGGGCUUGGUCCUUCCUUGGAUAAGAGUGAAAGCCAUAAGAUUUUGAAGAAGGCUUUCUUUUUAGUUGUUGUUCCACUCUUAUACAAAGUUGGAUUAGUUCAUCUAGGUCCCUAUAUGGAAGGAGUUCAACCUUGUCCCUUACUUCCAUAUUAAGCCCACUAAGGAACCUAGCUAUGCUUGUCCCUAAGUCCAGCUCUUAAAAAGAGUAGUUCCAUUUGUUGUCUAUAUUCUUCAACACUCAUACUCCCUUGUUUAAGCCUUUGGAGCUUGUCCACAAGCUCCCUUUCAUAGUAGGAGGGAAUGUGCCUCUUCCUAAGGGCACUCUUAAGAUCAUUCCAAUACUCUACUCGAGGAUCCCCAUGAAUCCUUCGUUCCCUAACAAGGGAAGUCCACCAAUAGAGGGCAUACCCUUGAAAGCUAAGGGCAGCCAAUGGAACUUUUCUCUCUUCGCUAAUAUGAUGGCAAGCAAAGAGUUGUUCAACCUUCAUUUCCCAAUCUAAGUAGACCUCAACAUUAUCUUUUCCAUGGAAAUAUGGAAGACUAAUGUUAACCUCUUGAGGCCUUUUAUCCUUUUCCCUUCUUUGGGAGUGAUGUUUAGUAUGUGAACUAUGGUGCCCUCUAUAAUAGUCGCUAAGUUCUUCACUUAAACUCUUGCAAGAGUCAUGACUACUAUAGGAGGCAUGUUUUUCUCUUUUCAUUUCUUUUAUUAUUUUCUUCUUUCUUCUUCCCUUAUUUUCUCUUUUUCAUCUUGACUUAUUUCGUCCACUCUUUUUUCCCUUUUUCUUUUCUCUCUUGUUUUUUUUCCAUAACUUGAGGGAACUCAACUCGUCUAAGAUUCUAGAUAAAGGGUCCUUAUGACUAGUACCGUCACCAUUAACACUAGUUGAAUGAUGACUUAUGUUGGUUCCUAAGUUGUAGUUCUUUCUUGUUGGGGGUUUUAAAACAAAAGGUAAAAGAAACUAUGGUUGAAACUAGCCAAAAUAAACACUUAAAGAGGUGUGAAAGAUAAGGUAAAAACUAAUUGGUAAAAGGUAAACUAUCUAGGCGGUUUGACAAUGGAAGGUAAAGGAAAUAAGCUAUUAAAGUAAGCAAGAAAAGUAAGCUAGGUGAAUCCUAAGAGUGUUUGGAUGACCACGUUCAAGGUUCCCAACAAAACACUCACUAUCCUAAAGAAAAAUUGCCUUAAAUUAUUACACACAAAUGGAAGUUUGGUAACCUAUUGGAGGCUCCCAACACACUUCCAAUGAAAGGCCUUUUUGUUACAAAACUUGAAAGCAAUGAAGGUAAGUAAAUUGCAAAUUAAAAAAUUACAAAACGUGCUCAAUUUUGGUGGUUGUUCUCUUUGGUGAUUCACUCAAUUUGGAGUGCUUCUUAGUCCAAUAGCUCUUAAGGUGGUUGGCCCCUUGCUUCUUGAAUCAAAUUCUUCAAGGGAUGGCACCAAUCCUCCUUUCCAAUUCCCUAUAUGGCAACUCACAAACAAGGAAACAAAGAGACAAGCAAUAACCAAAGACAAAAAAAUGAAAUGAAAGCUAAACCAAUGAAGUUUUAACAAGACAAUUUUCAAGGAUUAUUCAACAAUUAAAGCAAUGAAAAGGACAUAGAAGCAAGCUUGGACUCAAGGAGAAACAUAGAAUGGCUCUAGAGUAAAGUAAAAAAAAAAACUAUAAAAAAAAGACUCAACAAACCUCUAGCUUUGGCCCUUGUUUUUCACACUAAUUUUCAAUUGAAAUUUAGGAACUAAGAUUGGUAUAAAAUAGGCACCAAUUAUAGAAUAAAUUUUGAGCCAAAACAACAAGCAUACUUCCCUUUCACUUUUUUUUCCUGGAUACUGAUUUUUCUGCCAAAUUGUGUGAUGUUUAGUAUUUUUUCCUUUUAUCCAAAUCACUUGGUUCUUUUUUUAUAAAUUUUUUCUAGAUGUGUAGCAAAUUCAGUAAAAAUUUCAGCUCAAAAUUCGAAGUAACCAAUUCUCAGUAAUUUUUACAACUUUGUAUGUCCAAGCUGCCAACACCAGCGAUUUUUUUAAGCAUGGUAUAUUGAUUGCAUUGGGCUUACUUUCAACCUUCCUAUGUAUGUUGAACUCACUAGGAUUGUUUACCAUAGUUUUAGAAGUUUAAUAUUCACUUAGGAUCAACAUUUUAGUCAGCAAUUCAAUCACCAAAACUCAAAUUCACAAUAGACACAAUCAUAAGGAAACCUAAAAGUUCAAGAAAAGGUUCACAAUCAAAGACUCUCUAAGAAUUUUGCAUGAACAUGUUAAGGACUAAUUAACAUGAAAGAUUUGACUCAAAUCAAAUAAUAGGCUAAUAGAAUUUCAUACACUCAUGAACAAAUGAGUUAGACAAAGAAACAAGAAAAAUAAAAUUCAGCACAACAUCAGAAAUCUUAUGUGACAAGUUUCAUGACUAGACAUGACUUCUAUAACAAAACUACAAUAGGUGAACAAGUCACUCUAGAUUUUUGAGGUUUUAUUCUACUUUAAUAUUUUUUUAAGAAUUUUAUGGUUUAGGUUUCAGCCACAAAAAAUAACAAGACAAAACUCAAAGGAACCUAAACUCAACAUAAUUCAUGGUUCAAGAACAAGAACAAGAAAUUUGAACCAUAGAAAAUCAAAUCUAGCUUCUAUAGCAAGUUUAAUCGGUGGAAACUCUAAAGAAUCAUGUUAAAAAAAUUUAGCACAAGACAUGUGAGGAGAUACAUGGAGAAAAAUGAAUAAACAACAAUGGAAGAGAAGGUAAAGCAAAAAAUUAAUGGAGGUUUAAGGAUCACCUACUUGAAGCUCUUGUGCUCUGAUUACCACUUGAUGGAAGCUUGCUUGUGAAGCUUCUAUGGAGGCUGGAUCUUUGAGCUUCAAUGGUGAUUUUCCACCAUGGAGAUGCAGCGGAAGGCAAAGGAGAAGAGGAGAGGGGAGGCACCAUCCAUAAGGGAAUAAGGGGGGAGCACGAAAUUGAAGGAAUAAAAGAGGGAGAGAAGUGGAACUUUGAAGUGUGUCUCAUAAGACUUUCAUUCAUCAAAGUUACAACAAGUGUUACACAUGCUUCUAUUUAUAGACUAGGUAGCUUCCUUGAGAAGCUUUCUUGAGAAAACUUCCUUGAGAAGCUUCUUUGAGAAAACUUCCUUGAGAAGCUAGAGCUUAGCUACACACACCCCUCUAAAAGAUAAGCUCACCUCCUCGAGAAGCUAGAAGCUAGAGCUUAGCUACACACCCCCUAUGAUAGCUAAGCUCACCCGCAUGACAAAAUACAUGAAAAUACAAAAAGGUCCCUACUACAAAGACUACUCAAAAUGCCCUGAAAUACAAGGCUAAAACCCUAUACUACUAGAAUGGCCAAAAUACAAGGCCCAAAAGAAGAAAAAAACCUAUUCUAAUAUUUUCAAAGAAGAGUGGACCCAACCUUGGCCCAUGGACUCAAAAAUCUACCCUAAGGUUCAUGAGAACCCUAAGGCCUUCUUUAUCAGCUCUAGCCCAAUCCUCUUGGAGCCUCUUGCUCAUGGCUCUGGUAACUGGUCCUUUCCUAGGGAGGAUUGCAUCAUGUAUAGAAAUAUUGGGUUCACACAUGAGUACGUUGAUCCAUGAAUAGGGUUAUUGCAAUUUGACCAUGGUGGUGAAUGACAACCGAUAUUUCUUUAGGUGGAGCCAUGGGUGGUGUUUGGGGGAUGUGAGUGGGAAGACAAUGAGAGUUAGGAAUAGAGGUUAAUUUUGUGAGGAU
RNAcentral lists this long non-coding RNA (7690 nucleotides) under Glycine max (soybean). RNAcentral describes it as "long non-coding RNA (GMAX_LNC003510)". Lineage: Eukaryota; Viridiplantae; Streptophyta; Magnoliopsida; Fabales; Fabaceae. The record is from RNAcentral.